Molecule: ribosomal RNA, 465 nt
Filed under: uncultured bacterium
Lineage: Bacteria
Description: partial 16S ribosomal RNA
Rfam family: Bacterial small subunit ribosomal RNA
Source: RNAcentral
GACGAACGCUGGCGGCGUGCUUAACACAUGCAAGUCGUACGGUAAGGCCCUUUCGGGGGUACACGAGUGGCGAACGGGUGAGUAACACGUGAGUAACCUGCCCACCACUUUGGGAUAACGCUAGGAAACUGGUGCUAAUACUGGAUAUGUGCUCCUGCUGCAUGGUGGGGGUUGGAAAGCUCCGGCGGUUGUGGAUGGACUCGCGGCCUAUCAUCUUGUUGGUGGGGUAGUGGCCUACCAAGGCGGCGACGGGUAGCCGGCCUGAGAGGGUGACCGGCCACAUUGGGACUGAGAUACGGCCCAGACUCCUACGGGAGGCAGCAGUGGGGAAUAUUGCACAAUGGGCGCAAGCCUGAUGCAGCAACGCCGCGUGCGGGAUGACGGCCUUCGGGUUGUAAACCGCUUUCAGCAGGGACGAAGCUUUUUGUGACGGUACCUGCAGAAGAAGCACCGGCUAACUACGUG